Molecule: ribosomal RNA, 497 nt
Filed under: uncultured bacterium
Lineage: Bacteria
Description: partial 16S ribosomal RNA
Rfam family: Bacterial small subunit ribosomal RNA
Source: RNAcentral
GAUGAACGCUGGCGGCGUGCCUAAUACAUGCAAGUCGAACGCAUAGCGGAAGGUGCUUGCACCUUUCAAGUGAGUGGCGAACGGGUGAGUAACACGUGGACAACCUGCCUCAAGGCUGGGGAUAACAUUUGGAAACAGAUGCUAAUACCGAAUAAAACUUAGUGUCGCAUGACACAAAGUUAAAAGGCGCUUCGGCGUCACCUAGAGAUGGAUCCGCGGUGCAUUAGUUAGUUGGUGGGGUAAAGGCCUACCAAGACAAUGAUGCAUAGCCGAGUUGAGAGACUGAUCGGCCACAUUGGGACUGAGACACGGCCCAAACUCCUACGGGAGGCUGCAGUAGGGAAUCUUCCACAAUGGGCGAAAGCCUGAUGGAGCAACGCCGCGUGUGUGAUGAAGGCUUUCGGGUCGUAAAGCACUGUUGUAUGGGAAGAACAGCUAGAAUAGGAAAUGAUUUUAGUUUGACGGUACCAUACCAGAAAGGGACGGCUAAAUACGUG